AAAAUGAUAAAAGUUUUAUUCUAGCUUUUAGAUUUGGUCCUUCUUUUUUUAUACAUGCAAAUUUUAGUGUGAUUCCAAGUAAAUUUUAAUAGUUUAUUCAUUUGGAUUUAUUCGCAGUGUUUAUUAUUAAAUAUUUAAGAAAUUAAGAUUUAGAAAUAGGAGCUAGCUUUGACAAAGUUUGUGCCAGCAGUUGCGGUUAGACAAACAAAGUUACUAAAUCAUUUUGGUUAGUAGUGAGACAAGGAAAAAAGAUAAUAAUGAAAAUUUUAAGUUAGGAGGUGAAAUUUUAACUUUAACGAUUUUUUAUAUAUUUGUUUGUGAUUCUAUGAAAUUUUUUUUUAGACUAGGAUUAGAUACCCUAUUAUUUUAAAUGUAAAUUUUUAUACCUGGUUAGUAAUAGUUAUGUUCUCGAAAACUAAAGAUUUUGGCGGUAUUUUAGUCUUUCCAGAGGAACCUGUCCCGUAAUUGAUAGUCCACGAUUAAUUAUACUUAUUUUUAGUAGUUUAUAUAUCGUCGUGGUUGAAUAUUUUAGAAGAAUUCUUAAUGUUCAGGAUAUUAUAUUAGAUAAGAAAUCAGAUCAAGAUGUAGCUUAUAGGUAAGAGGAGAUGGGUUACAAUAAAUUUAUUUAAAUGGAUUGGGUCUUGAAUAUGACUCAUGAAGGUGGAUUUGGAAGUAAUACUUAAAAUAUAUUAGGUAUGAUUAAGCUCUAAAAUAUGCACAUAUCGCCCGUCGCUUUCAUUUAAAGUGAAAUAAGUCGUAACAAAGUAGGUGUACUGGAAAGUGUACCUAGAA
This 792-nucleotide non-coding RNA is filed under the name Julodis variolaris. Lineage: Eukaryota; Metazoa; Arthropoda; Insecta; Coleoptera; Buprestidae. The record is from RNAcentral.